UCAGGUGGUUAGAGCGCACCCCUGAUAAGGGUGAGGUCCCUGGUUCGAGUCCAGGAUGGCCCACUCCAUUAAGACAAGGGGGUUUAGCUCAGUUGGUAGAGCGCCUGCUUUGCAAGCAGGAUGUCAGCGGUUAGAGUCCGCUAACCUCCACCAACCGAUUGAUUGAAUCACUCUGUUGAAUUUUUUGUUGAAUCGAGCGAUUGAGGAUAUGCGACAGCAACUCAUCUGCGGUAUGUAGAGAGCCUGCUGGAUUAUAUCCAGUACAAGAACCAAGAAAACUGCAUAGUAAUGAUGUCAGGUAGAGAUACACAGACACCAAUGUAAAGGACUAAAACUGAUUGAAAUAAUUAGU
Molecule: transfer RNA, 352 nt
Filed under: Leptolyngbya sp. PCC 7410
Lineage: Bacteria; Bacillati; Cyanobacteriota; Cyanophyceae; Leptolyngbyales; Leptolyngbyaceae
Description: partial 16S-23S ribosomal RNA intergenic spacer
Rfam family: tRNA (bases 78-150)
Source: RNAcentral